UUGGACGACACAUACUAUUUGCUUAAACAG
RNAcentral lists this non-coding RNA (30 nucleotides) under Mus musculus (house mouse). The record is from RNAcentral. Lineage: Eukaryota; Metazoa; Chordata; Mammalia; Rodentia; Muridae.